RNAcentral lists this long non-coding RNA (4019 nucleotides) under Mytilus galloprovincialis (Mediterranean mussel). Lineage: Eukaryota; Metazoa; Mollusca; Bivalvia; Mytilida; Mytilidae. The record is from RNAcentral.
CACAGUACGACAAGCUGUUACUGAGACAAUUCGAUCAAUUCCUCAUAAUAGUUGCUAUAAAUUGUUUGUUUAUGUAAAAGAAAAUGUAUAAUCGGAAAUGAAGAUCAUAUUAAUAAUAAUUACCAUCAUUGGACAUGCUUUAUGUUCGUUUAAUUGUACAGGUAAGCUCUUUGAAAUGUUUCUGUCUAUUUACAAAUUGUCACGAUGAUUUCAAAAACGUCAUAUUUUGUUUUUCACUCAUUAAACACAAUUUUAUUUACAUGCGAUUCUUUGGAUGUUUACAUUGUACUUAUAAGUUCUUUUGUUCCUGCGAUUUAAAAAUAUCCAUAAAUGAAAUGUAAUCCAUGCCAUCAAAAUAUCCGUAAAUUAAAUGUGACCCCUAUAAAAAUUCACUUUUAAUGACCACUGAAUAGUAGAAUUAUUUUUGCACAUGUAGUAUUAUUACAUUCAUUAAAAUUCUAAUCAGUCUGAUUUAAAUCAGCUAAUAAUCAGAGCUUUACAUACAACUGAAUACACUUUGUCAGAUCUUAAUGAGAUUGUCCCGCAAAUUUAAAGGUUAAUUGAAAGUACAACGUUAAGACUUAUUUAUUUUAUAAUCAAAACGUCAAGACAUAAAUUUAACGAAAUUGUCGUUUUAAACUGUUUAAGCAUUUAUAAUAAGCUUGUUAUAUGUUUUCCUUUCUACGAUAUUAUCGAUAAUGUUGUUAUAAAAUACGAUGGUACAAAGUUGACAUACAAAAAUAUUUUAAUAUAAUAGUCCAUAAUUCUACAGUUUUAUUUUGAUAAUUAUUCUUAUAAACCAAGGCUAAAGCAUGAAGAAUAUUUCUAAAGAUUUUUUUUAAUUUUCAGAAUUUGCACAUCGUUUUCGCUCAGACAGCUUACCGGUACUGAUGCAAGAUUUUAUUGGAACCCACAGUAGAGGAUUGUUAGCCAUUAAAUGUGCAGUAAGUUUAAUAUAAUUAUAAAUAAGCAAGGAACUUUUAACAUGUUAAAAUCGAUGCCUUAUAUUUGGAAGUAUUGUCAAUACAUUUUUUGCGUUAAAAUCAUUACGUGUGCGAGCAGCUGUCGAUUACACCAACGUUCAAGCGUGUUUUAUGUACACUUCAUGCAUACAUGUCAUCCAAGGAUAAAAAUGUAGGCACCUUAUAUAAAGCAUUUUAUUUAAAUUCCUAUACAUUUAUGGAGAUAUGAUUGGCUAAAGGACUACACGUGAUGACUAUGUUCAUUUGUAAAAGCAAUUUAUGGGACUGUCAUCUGUAUUACAUUUUCUAACAAGUGAUAUGAAAAGAAGAAAAAAUUUCAUGAUCAUCAUAAUAGACAUCUAUAUGUAAUACAGUUCACAGUACGCAAUUUCGACAACAUAUUUCAUUUUCAUUGUCAUUUGUAACAUUUAACUUUCAACCAUAUUUCAAUUUGGACAAUUAAUCAAUGCUGAAGUAAUUUUCACGGAAAGAUAUAAAUAUCACUGAGAAAUCGAUCAACUUGUACUGAAAAUUAUAGUCCAGAAAAGAAGACCAGCGCUAUAAAUUUGCACAAAUAACUAUUUAUCGAUGUACUGAUUUGUACGAAAACGUUCUUGACUUUACUGAAUCGAAUGAAGGCGUUUCCAGUCAGUACUGAACUGUACUGGAUCUCCUGCGGGUACUGAACACGAACUAAAUAUCUGAAAAAGAGCUUGACAAUUUUUAUAGCGGUAAUUUGCAGGCAUUAAAGUUGAAAAUGACCGUUUGAGUAAUAAUAAAUAGUUACUAGUGUGAAGAAGACAAAGACAGAAUGAUAUUAUAAUACCACGUCAGAACAUUAUGUCCUUGUCGUUUAACACCCUCAAGGUAAAGCAAAGAAAAAGGCUAAACCACCAAAGACUUUACAUUUUAACAUUGUCCAAAAUGAGUUACGACUUAGGUCUUAGUGCAAAUGUAAAGGGGUUUAGUAAAGUUUUUUUUGCAUUCAUGGAAAAAAUGGCUACUGUCAAGUACACUUUAAGACACCGUGUAACUAUAUUUCCUUCUAUAUUGACAUAUUGGUCAUUCCUAUCGCAAAUACCUCCCUGAAAGGGUUAUUCUGAAGUAGACAAUUUUUUAUUUUCUCUUAUACUGUUUAUAUAGCAUAACCCGAAAGUAUUAAACAAUCUAAUGUUCCGCUUCUUGCAAUUUUCUGACAAUAAUGAAUACUUACUGACCCUUUAUACAAUGCUGUACAUUAAAAAAAAAUGUAUUUUCUCUGACUGAAGCCGAACUGAGUUGUUUGUUCUCUUUUUAUUGUUAAUGAUCUUAAGCAACAGUUAAAACCAAAGGCCGUCACUACUUUAAAGUGGCUUUUUUCUAUUGAAGUGAACACAUUUUGAUUGAGAUUUUCAUAUUAUAUGUCGUCUAUAAUUUUCUUGACAAAGUUACUUGUAUCGGUAUUUUACUGUGUGUUUGCUUUGGCAAGGUAAGCAAUAAGCACAGCAUGCGUUUAUAACAUGUUCAACUGGUUUUCUUCGAAAUACUUUUCUUAUCCCAGGCAUAGCUUACCUUAGCCGUAUUUGGCAUAACUUUUUUUUUAGAAUUUUGGGUCCUCAAUACCCUUCAACUUUGUACUUAACUAUUUUGAUCUAAGCGUCACUGAUGAGUCUAAUGUAGACGAAACGACUAACUUAUGUAUAUCUAUAGUGCAUCAUACAAUAAACAUUUAUUGCUGGCGUCUGGCGUACUAAAUUAUAAUCCUGGUACCUUUGAUAACUAUUUACACCACUGGAUCGAUGCCACUGCUGAUGGACGUUUCGUCCCCGAGGGUACACACUUCGGUGUUGACAUGAAUAUCAAUAAUGUGGUCAUUUAUAUAAAUUUCCUGUUUACAAAACUUUGAAUUUUUCUAAAAACUAAGAAUUGUCUUAUCCCAGGCAUAGCUUACCUUAGCCGUAUUUGGCAUAACUUUUUAUAGACUUUUGGGUCCUCAAUGCCCUCCAACUUUGUAUUUGUUUUACUUCAUAACUAUUUUGAUCUGAGCGUCACUGAUGAGUCUUAUGUAGACGAAACGCUCGUCAGGCGUAUUAAAAUAUAAGCCUGGUACCGUUGAUAACUAAGAACUCAAACGCAUUUGUUUGCUCUAUGUAGGCAGAUAAUAUGUUUUGGGUAAUUCCACCUAUUCAUUUUAUAUAUUGUCAUUUAUUUCUCGAUAAUUUUAAAUGUAAAACUUAAAAUCACAAAAAAUAUUGAACUUAGAGGAAAAUCUAAUCGGAAAGUCAAUAAACACAUGGCAAAAUCAAAUAACAAAACACAUAAAAAACGAAUGGUACAGGCAUUUUCAAAUGUAGAAAAUGGUGGAUUAAACCUGGUUUUAUAGCGCUUACCCUCUCUCUUUCAUGACAGUCUCAUUAAAUUCCGUUAUAUUUACAGUGAUGCGUAAACUAAAAGACAUGAUAAAUAAAAUAGUCAAAAUAUAGGUACAGCAGUCAUCAUCGUGUAACAAUUUUAAAAGGAACAAUUUAACAGAACACAAAAACAUCUAUCUACAAACACAUUCAUUGAUUCGCGUGUUUGAAAUCAGAAAAUUUUAAACGUCACAGAUAUUUGUCGUUCAAUGUAUAUACAAACAAUUUUAAAAUUUCACAUAGGCAAUGUUAGCAUACAGGUAAUUGAUAUGAUAUCAUUAUUUUGUUUUCAGAUGAGAACUCUUCGAGAUGAUAUAUACAAUCAGAACUUUGCAGUCUAUCGGAGAACAUUGUUUAACUGAACGCCUUGUAAUGACAGUUAACCUAGUUUAGAUCUCAAUUUAAAUUAUGGCACUUUUUAGUUGUUACUUUUCAGUUUAUAAGUUGACUUACUCAUAGUACUUCUACAACUACAGUUGCGAUUCCGAUGGCAAAGUUGUGGACAUAUGAGAGGAUUUCUAUAAUUUGUUUAGGUCUUAUUUGUUUUUAAGUUUAUUUUAUUUAUUUAACAUGUGGACUCUAUAUCAUAUAUUUAUGUUACAGUACUAAUUAUAAUUGAGUAGUAUCAAGAACCCCCCAUAGUACUAAUUAUAAUUGACUAGGAUCA